Molecule: ribosomal RNA, 773 nt
Filed under: uncultured Neocallimastigales
Lineage: Eukaryota; Fungi; Neocallimastigomycota; Neocallimastigomycetes; Neocallimastigales
Description: partial large subunit ribosomal RNA
Rfam family: Eukaryotic large subunit ribosomal RNA
Source: RNAcentral
CGCAUCUGUGCAUGCAGCAUAUCAAUAAGCGGAGGAAAAGAAACUAACAAGGAUUCCCCUAGUAACGGCGAGUGAAGCGGGAAGAGCUCAAAUUUGAAAUCUUAAAGGGUUUCCCUUUACGAAUUGUAGUUUAAAGAAGUGUUUUCUGUUGAGGUUUUGGUAAAAGUUCUUUGGAAUAGGACAUCAUAGAGGGUGAGAAUCCCGUAUUUGACCUUUACUUUCAACUUUGUGAUACACUUUCAAAGAGUCGGAUUGUUUGGGAAUGCAGUCCAAAAUGGGUGGUAAAUUUCAUCUAAAGCUAAAUAUUGGCGAGAGACCGAUAGCGAACAAGUACCGUGAGGGAAAGAUGAAAAGAACUUUGAAAAGAGAGUUAAACAGUACGUGAAAUUGUCAAAAGGGAAGCGUUUGACACCAGUGCUGUUUUUCUGAAAAUCAAUUAAAGAACUGUUUAUGCUAAGUUGUUUAGACUUUAUCAGCUAACUGUUUAGUUUUGAGCUUUUCUUUAAUGCACUUUUCAGUUAACAAGUCAACAUCAAUUUCUUUUGCUGUAAAAAAGCUUGAGGAAGGUGGCUUGAGAUUCGUCUUAAGUGUUUAUAGCCUCUUGCCUAUGCAGUCGGAGAGAUUGAGGUCUGCAGCGUAGAUCCUUCGGGGCUAAAUGCAUUUGUGCUAAGUUAUAGCAUUUUAUAGACAACUUGUUGACUAUGAUUUGUCUUGUAGCUUACUCGCUUAUGUUAUUUUACCUACGCUUAGGAUGUUGAGCGCAUGUCUCUCUC